AAAGCAAGUGUGCAGGCCUUGCUGUGAGGCAGAAUCUCUGCUAGGCCAAAAGUGGUGACUGCAUCCCAUUCCGGAGGGAAAAAUGGAAGGAGGUUGUUCCAGUUUGAGGUCAAGUUUUAAGUUUCCUUUCUGUGGUGUCGGUGUGGAUAUUGGCUCUCAGUGUGCCCAAGGGCUCUGAGUGUCUGUCAGGGCAGUCAGGGUGUGGAAAGUGUCCCUGGCCCAGCACUGCCCCUCCCAUCUGUCUCCCUCCUUGGCUGUGGCCAGCAUCUCCUGGAUCCGUGCACUCAGCCCCUGCACCAGUGGAGAGGUGCCAAAGCCCUGGGCACCCCUGUGGCAGGGAGUUCAUGGCCCUGGCAAACCGGUCAUUGCCCAGAGGGGCAGGUCAGGGAGCCCUCGGGCCCCUUGGGAAUUGACAGGAGCUGCCUUCAGCCCUGCACUCAGCUCUACCCCUGAGACACUGGGAUUCCAUCCUCUGCUAUUCACACAUUGCCCAAUCCCAAAUGGAAUAAUCAGCUCACAUGUCAAAUUGCAACUCCACCCUCAAGCGGCAGAGCUUCUGUGGCAAAUGGCUGAAAUGCCACACAGGGAUCUGAGGUGUCCAUAAAUCAACAGGCUGAAUAUGGAGAGGGUUGUCUGUGCCUGGGAACAGAUGUGGAUCCACUUCCCAAGGAUGUUGGGGUGUAAUGAGAGUUUUCCUUAAUGCAGGUUCAGGCAGCUCUGCAUUUUACAGUGGCAUGAAAGAGAACAUGGAGAAAAAGCAAUCAUAAGAGUUCUUCUUUAGGUUGUUCAAUGAAAAAUUGGAAUUAUGUUAUGAAAUGAUCAAAUUUAAGGUCUGUUUCUAAAUGGAGCAUAGUAGUGAUCAGAGUUUAAUGGAGUGCAGUACAGUAAAGCGAAAUGAACAGCUGCUUGUAUGUACAACUGCUCACUGCUCAUAUUAAGUAAGAUAUAUAUAGAUAGAUAGACACAUUCAGAAAAUAAACACCUUCACAUUCAUCCAAUCAGAAAUGUUGUAUGAUUUGUUAAUUUAUCCUUCUAGUGGGUUUAAUCCACAGAGUUAAAAUUGUAUAUUUGUCAGGUAAGUGGAAAUAAACAAUGAGAUUACAAAAACCAUGAACUCCUAGUGUCCUAUGAGGAGACCAGAAAGUUGUUUACUGAAUUAUUCAUGGCAACUUAUUUUCUCAGCUAAGUGUAACAGCAAAUAUAAAAACUUUUGUUCAGCUCUGCAUGACUUUGUGUCAGCUUAUUAUUUCCCUGAAUCACUGUUACUUUUCUAAGAGAAGAAGGAGUUCUGUAAAGGGAAACUAACAAUCUAUUGUCUCUUUUAUGGAGAGUGUAAAAAUUUUAUUUAUUUUCUUUUAAGGGGAAACAAAUGAAAAACAACACACAACACUAACUUUUAAAUUGCUGAUCGUGUGUUUAUCUGCAAUCUGUGUUUUUAAUAGUCUUAGUGUAUUAGUCUCAUUGCACAAUUUUGAACAGUAUAUAGAUAUUUCCUUUGCAAGUGUUUUCAUGCUGUGGCAAUUUUAAUUUUGCCUUAAUAUUAAAUCAGAAUAGUUGUAAGAAUGAAUACUGGUGACACUGUUUGAGAUGAUAGAGGUGAAUUAUCUCCAGCCACAAGAGACAAAGUGAGAGUGAGUGCUUGGAUUUUCACCCAGUUGGCACACUAAAGCACUCAGGGUGGGAAUAAAUAGCCAGAGUAUUUAGUGUACGAUUAAGAAAGAUGCUGUAGGAGAGCAGCAAAGAGUGAGCUGU
Non-coding RNA from Zonotrichia albicollis (white-throated sparrow), 1752 nucleotides. The record is from RefSeq and is a predicted model, not a curated record. Lineage: Eukaryota; Metazoa; Chordata; Aves; Passeriformes; Passerellidae.